GACGAACGCUGGCGGCGUGCUUAACACAUGCAAGUCGAACGGAAAGGCCCUGCUUUUGUGGGGUGCUCGAGUGGCGAACGGGUGAGUAACACGUGAGUAACCUGCCCUUGACUUUGGGAUAACUUCAGGAAACUGGGGCUAAUACCGGAUAGGAGCUCCUGCUGCAUGGUGGGCGUUGGAAAGUUUCGGCGGUUGGGGCUGGACUCGCGGCUUAUCAGCUUGUUGGUGGGGUAGUGGCUUACCAAGGGUUUGACGGGUAGCCGGCCUGAGAGGGUGACCGGCCACAUUGGGACUGAGAUACGGCCCAGACUCCUACGGGAGGCAGCAGUGGGGAAUAUUGCACAAUGGGCGGAAGCCUGAUGCAGCAACGCCGCGUGCGGGAUGACGGCCUUCGGGUUGUAAACCGCUUUCGCCCGUGACGAAGCGUGAGUGACGGUAAUGGGUAAAGAAGCACCGGCUAACUACGUG
RNAcentral lists this ribosomal RNA (468 nucleotides) under uncultured bacterium. Its description in RNAcentral is "partial 16S ribosomal RNA". It matches the Rfam family "Bacterial small subunit ribosomal RNA", at positions 28 to 507 of the family's 1533-position model. The record is from RNAcentral.